RNAcentral lists this transfer RNA (68 nucleotides) under Planktotalea frisia. Its description in RNAcentral is "tRNA-Leu". It matches the Rfam family "tRNA", at positions 9 to 64 of the family's 71-position model. From Rfam's summary of the family: Transfer RNA (tRNA) molecules are approximately 80 nucleotides in length. Their secondary structure includes four short double-helical elements and three loops (D, anti-codon, and T loops). Lineage: Bacteria; Pseudomonadati; Pseudomonadota; Alphaproteobacteria; Rhodobacterales; Paracoccaceae. The record is from RNAcentral.
GGCGGAAUGGUAGACGCAGGGGAUUCAAAAUCCCCCGCCUUAACGGGCGUGCCGGUUCGAGUCCGGCC